UUCUUGUCUCGUUUGUUUCAGGAAAAUUUCGUGUUUACAAAUUUGGCACGCCCAGUGGGACAAUCUCUACCUCUCAUCUCUUUCUCCGUUCAAGGAAUCCAAACACACCUCAAAGUCAAUGGCAUCAAGCAAGGGACAAGCCAUUCUCACAACCACUGAGGGAAGGAUCCUGAGCACUUCUUCCCCGAACGGACAAUCCAUU
This 202-nucleotide long non-coding RNA is filed under the name Malus domestica (apple). RNAcentral's name for it is "long non-coding RNA (MDOM_LNC003321)". Lineage: Eukaryota; Viridiplantae; Streptophyta; Magnoliopsida; Rosales; Rosaceae. The record is from RNAcentral.